AUUGAACGCUGGCGGCAGGCCUAACACAUGCAAGUCGAGCGGUAGCAGGGAGCUUGUUCCUGGAUUCAGCGCCGGAGGCGGGCGUAAUGCUUAUGUAUCUGACACUUCGUGGUGGAUAAGGUUAGCUAAUGGGCGCUAUUACCAAAUCCGCCUAGCGUCGGAAAGCGAGGGAUGUUCGGAUUCCACGCUCUCACCUUAGCCUAGGCCGGAUUAGCUAGUAGGUGGGGUAAGGGCUCACCUAGGCGACGAUCCCUAGCUGGUCUGAGAGGAUGAGCAGGCACACUGGAACUGAGACACGGUCCAGACUCCUACGGGAGGCAGCAGUGGGGAAUAUUGCACAAUGGGCGCAAGCCUGAUGCAGCCAUGCCGCGUGUGUGAAGAAGGUCUUCGGGUUGUAAAGCACUUUCAGUGGGGAGGAAGGGCAUUAAGUUAAUACCUUGCUGUAUUGACGUUACCAGCAGAAGAAGCACCGGCUAACUUCGUG
RNAcentral lists this ribosomal RNA (484 nucleotides) under uncultured bacterium. Its description in RNAcentral is "partial 16S ribosomal RNA". It matches the Rfam family "Bacterial small subunit ribosomal RNA", at positions 30 to 507 of the family's 1533-position model. The record is from RNAcentral.